GGCUGGUCUGAGUGCAGUGGUGUUUACAACUAAUUGAUCAGUGGGGUUUCAGAUUUCUUUGUUCCUUUUCCACUCUUAUUACUUCACUUGAUUAGCUUUAC
RNAcentral lists this Y RNA (101 nucleotides) under Carlito syrichta (Philippine tarsier). Its description in RNAcentral is "Y RNA (ENSTSYG00000022180.2)". It matches the Rfam family "Y RNA". From Rfam's summary of the family: Y RNAs are components of the Ro ribonucleoprotein particle (Ro RNP), in association with Ro60 and La proteins. The Y RNAs and Ro60 and La proteins are well conserved, but the function of the Ro RNP is not known. In humans the RNA component can be one of four small RNAs -- hY1, hY3, hY4 and hY5. The record is from Rfam by way of RNAcentral. Lineage: Eukaryota; Metazoa; Chordata; Mammalia; Primates; Tarsiidae.